GACGAACGCUGGCGGCGUGCCUAAUACAUGCAAGUAGAACGCAGUUUCGCACGGGUGAGUAACGCGUAGGUAACUGCCUCAUAGCGGGGGAUAACUAUUGGAAACGCUAGCUAAUACCGCAUACUGUGAGAUGGACCUGCGUUGUAUUAGGUAGUUGGUGAGGUAAAGGCUCACCAAGGCGACGAUACAUAGCCGACCUGAGAGGGGGGACCGCCAAACUGGGGAUGAGACACGGCCCCGACCUCUACGGGAGGCAACAGGAGGGAAACCUCGGCAAUGGGCGGAAGUCUGGACGAGGAAAGGCGGGUGAGUGAAGAAGGGUUUCGGAACGGAAAGCUCUGUUGAUAGGGAAGCGGUAACUAACCAGAAAGCGACGGCUAACUACGUGCCAGCAGCCGCGGUAAUUC
This 407-nucleotide ribosomal RNA is filed under the name uncultured bacterium. RNAcentral's name for it is "partial 16S ribosomal RNA". It matches the Rfam family "Bacterial small subunit ribosomal RNA", at positions 28 to 526 of the family's 1533-position model. The record is from RNAcentral.